GCAUCAUCGCCACCCCACCACUUGCAUGGCAAUUGGAAAAUGCCACAUCGCGGUCCUCAAACAAUACUUCAAACUUGGAAACCACUGCAUCCUUCCUUCCCACUUAAUUGAGACAACGUCUCAAGGCUUCUCCCUCUCAUCCUCCCUCAGAUUCAGCUAGCACAGAGUUCAUCGAUCACCAAACACAGAAAAAGACACUACUGCUGGAUCAUGAACAGCCUGUUUCAUCUAAAAUUCUGUCUUCUUCAACAACAAAUUAAAAAGAGAGAAGAACAGAAAGGAUUCAGAUCUGUUUUGAAUCCUCUCAGACUGUUAAGUAAUUGAUCUGAUGGAAGGAGAAGGGGAAGGGAAGAAGAAGGGAUUGGCGAGAUAUUCAGCCACAGAAGAGCCUCAUGAGGACAGAGGGAAUUACUUCAGCUUGAAAACAUUAAUACUUCUUGGCUUACUGACCUUGUCUCUCUUGAUCCUUCCUCUUAUACUGCCUCCAUUGCCUCCUCCACCUUCCAUGCUGCUGCUGCUUCCUUUAGCAAUACUUGUUGUUCUGAUGUUCUUGGCUUUCAUGCACUCGGACAUAAAGGACAUGGCUCCCUCUCAUUUAAAAAAAAUGAAAGAGAAAGAGCAAGAGAGAGAGUCUUGUUUGUUGGUGCUGAUGGAAGAAACUGUUUGAGUGUUCCAGGAAACGUGUAUAUUGGUUGUGAAAGAGUGGUGAGAAUGUUCGCAUAUUGCACGCACGCUCCAAGAGGUUUCAGGGUAGGCUUUAGACUUUGAACUUGACUUCAUGAGAAAGCAGUGUUCUAAAUAUUGGCGUAACUCUUACUUCCGACUUUAGUGAAGAAUAUAUUGUUGAUGGUGGGACAUGGUUACUCGA
Zingiber officinale is the source of this 868-nucleotide long non-coding RNA. RefSeq lists it as uncharacterized. The record is from RefSeq and is a predicted model, not a curated record. The transcript has 4 exons. Lineage: Eukaryota; Viridiplantae; Streptophyta; Magnoliopsida; Zingiberales; Zingiberaceae.